CCUACGGGUGGCAGCAGUGAGGAAUAUUGGUCAAUGGGCGGAAGCCUGAACCAGCCAUGCCGCGUGCGGGAAGAAGGCUCUAUGGUUUGUAAACCGCUUUUGUAAGGGAGUAAAGUUCGGUACGUGUCUUGCGCUGCAUGUACCGUACGAAUAAGGAUCGGCUAACUCCGUGCCAGCAGCCGCGGUAAUACGGAGGGACCGAGCGUUAUCCGGAUUGAUUGGGUUUAAAGGGUGCGGAGGCGGUUUGGUAAGUCAGGGGUGAAAUGACCGAGCUUAACCCCGGGACUGCCUUUGAAACUGUCGGUCUCGAGUGGAGGAGGGGUAGGCGGAAU
Molecule: ribosomal RNA, 332 nt
Filed under: uncultured bacterium
Lineage: Bacteria
Description: partial 16S ribosomal RNA
Rfam family: Bacterial small subunit ribosomal RNA
Source: RNAcentral